RNAcentral lists this ribosomal RNA (440 nucleotides) under uncultured bacterium. Its description in RNAcentral is "partial 16S ribosomal RNA". It matches the Rfam family "Bacterial small subunit ribosomal RNA", at positions 338 to 795 of the family's 1533-position model. The record is from RNAcentral.
CCUACGGGAGGCAGCAGUGGGGAAUAUUGCACAAUGGGGGAAACCCUGAUGCAGCGACGCCGCGUGAGCGAUGAAGUAUCUCGGUAUGUAAAGCUCUAUUAGCAGGGAAGAAAAUGACGGUACCUGACUAAGAAGCCCCGGCUAACUACGUGCCAGCAGCCGCGGUAAUACGUAGGGGGCAAGCGUUAUCCGGAUUUACUGGGCGUAAAGGGAGCGUAGACGGUUUGGCAAGGCAGAUGUGAAAGGCUGGGGCUCAACCCCAGGACUGCAUUUGAAACUGUCAGGCUAGAGUGUCGGUGAGGUAGGCGGAAUGCCUAGUGUAGCGGUGAAAUGCGUAGAUAUUAGGAGGAACACCAGUGGCGAAGGCAGCCUGCUGGGCGAUGACUGACGUUGAGGCUCGAAAGCGUGGGGAGCAAACAGGAUUAGAUACCCCGGUAGUC